This 27-nucleotide non-coding RNA is filed under the name Homo sapiens (human). Lineage: Eukaryota; Metazoa; Chordata; Mammalia; Primates; Hominidae. The record is from RNAcentral.
UGAGCUCUAACACUCGCAGUGAAGGUC